CAGAGUUCUCGCCCUCGCGGGUAGAUCUCCCACCCACUGUUAUUGUUACUGUGUUGCUUUGGCGGGCUGCUAGGCCCAGCCUGGCCGCCGGCUCCGGCUGGCGCGCGCCCGCCAGAGGCCCGAUUAAUUCUGAUUGUCAGUGUCGUCCGAGUAACUAUAUAUAAUCGUUA
Molecule: unclassified non-coding RNA, 170 nt
Filed under: uncultured Oidiodendron
Lineage: Eukaryota; Fungi; Ascomycota; Leotiomycetes; Myxotrichaceae
Description: sequence contains ITS1
Source: RNAcentral